GCAGAAAGCUUCUUUUCAGUUCAAGUCAAUAUCCUCUUGUGAAUCUCAGAUGUGGGGCUAAUUAUGUCUGUCUUUGAGCUUUAUAUGAUUACGGCGAUUAGAUAAGGUUCGACAGCGUAAAAAGUACAACAUGGAAUUCUCUCCCUCCUUGUCAAGAGCUUCUGUAAAAUCUGUAUCUUCCCAAUACUCCGUAGAAGAACUACAAGAAAAAAUUGGAGAGCUUCGGAAGCAACAUCGAGAAAACGUCGGGGAGUUUCUGAAAGUGCAAACGAUGCAAAGAGAGAGGAUGAUUCAAGGAUUGGAAGAAAAACUCGCCGCCCGGAGGGACAGGCGAGAACGGAAAGUCGAACAGAUACCGCCCGUGUCUAUCUAGCACAAGGACAGAUCGUGACCUGGGGAAAAUCGCUCUUCGUUUUCUUUUCUUUUUUUUUUUUUUUUUUUUUUUAUUCUGAAAAUCGCAUUGCUUAGAAUGGGGCUGAUUUUAUUGAACAGCAUGGAGCUUUAAUUUCCCUUAGGAUCCAAAAACGAUUUAAAAUCGAAAUGAAAAAUUUCUCAAAGUAUUGAAAAUGGAUUGAUGAUGGUGAAAAAAUAAAUUGUGAGUAUUUUUUACUCUAGAAAUAGUUUAUUAUGGAUAGUUUUCUCACGAAGCAUGUUAGAUUUUACUAUUACAAUUUAGUUUAUAAGGAAGUUGAAAUCAGAAGAGUUUGCUGGAAUCUUUUACCAUAUAUUUUUCGUCCUUAUACAAAAAGACAUUGCGUUUUCAGUUUCUAAGAUAAAAUGUUAUAAGUAGAGCUUACUAUGGAUGUAUUCUUUAUUUACUUUAAUUUUUUUUAUGAAACAUGUAAAUU
Argiope bruennichi is the source of this 848-nucleotide long non-coding RNA. RefSeq lists it as uncharacterized. Lineage: Eukaryota; Metazoa; Arthropoda; Arachnida; Araneae; Araneidae. The record is from RefSeq and is a predicted model, not a curated record. The transcript is spliced from 3 exons.